UGUUAAUUUUUUUUCUAUUUCUAGUAUUAAAAAUGGGUAUGACUGAUCAAAUAAUCAAAUAGCUACACGUGGCACACUAGGUGUAUCUCAUGCUAGUGUAUAGGAACCAACUUUUAAAUGUAAAAAUGAAAGAAAUUUUUAACA
Molecule: non-coding RNA, 144 nt
Organism: Gossypium hirsutum (cotton)
Lineage: Eukaryota; Viridiplantae; Streptophyta; Magnoliopsida; Malvales; Malvaceae
Source: Rfam